This is a long non-coding RNA of Brassica oleracea var. oleracea, 1366 nucleotides long. RefSeq lists it as uncharacterized. NCBI's taxonomy places the organism in Eukaryota, Viridiplantae, Streptophyta, Magnoliopsida, Brassicales, Brassicaceae. The record is from RefSeq and is a predicted model, not a curated record. The transcript is spliced from 3 exons.
UAUUGGUCUAACUGGAGACAUCCUCAGUACAAUGCCAUCCGGUUUCUCAUGACAAUAUUAGCGUCAUGUUGGGUUUGGUUUUCUGCCAAACAUGAACGGAAAUGUAAGCUUGCUUCCAUAUUCAUUUUAUUAAACUAUCAUCUUAAACCGUGAUUGAUUCAUCCCAAAACCACAACAGAUAGAAGGAUCAAGACAUGAAUAAUUCCUUUGGAGCCAUGUACGCUGCGAUAUUGUUUCUCGGUGCCACAAACGCUGCAACAGUUCAACCGCUAUCGCCAUUGAGCGUACUUUUUUCUACCGUGAAAAAGUUGCUGGAAUGUACUUAGCCAUCCCUUAUGCAAUCUCUCAGGUGGCCGUGGAAAUUAUGUACAAUACGGUACAACGAGAGUUUACACGCUGAUCAUUUACUCAAUAAUUGGAUACGACUGGAUUGUGGCUAAGUUCUUAUGGUUCUACUACUCAAUGCUAACAAGCUUCAUAUUUCACGCUAUACGGUAUGAUGAUUGUGGCCUUGACACCAAACUAUCAGAUCAAUGGGAUCUGCAUGUCCUUCUUCCUUGAGUCUCUGGAAUCUCUUCUCAGGUUUACUCAGACCAAGACCGGUACGUCGCAAAAAACGAUAUGGUGGAGAUUGCACUACUGCGCAUACACCAGUGGCUUGGACGUUGUAUUGUAUCAUCACAUCUCAAGUAGGAGAUAAAGAUUUGAUAGUGCAGAUCGCUGGUGUUGGAGACAUGAGCCUUAAAAAUUUGCUGAAAUAUGGGUUCGGGUUUGAACAUGACUUCUUACCAGUUGUAGCUGCUGUCCACAUAGGAUAGAUACUACUGAUAUUUGUCUUUGACUAUGUCUUUGCUUAUGAUAUCAAGGUCCUCAAAUUUCAAAAGAACGUGAAGGAGAAGUAGUACCUUUGUAGCAUAGUGUUUGGAAGUUGUUGGAUUCCUGUAAUUUUUCUUUUGUUAUAUAUAUUGUUUUUAUUUGGUUAGAAACAACAACAAUAAUAACAGUUUAUGUUAUCAAAUCAUACUUUUGAUAUAAAAUAGAAUUCUCUUUAAAAAAUACGUACAUGUACGAUUGGUAUCUAUAUGUAAAGUUAUACAUUCUCAGACGACAUGAGCACGACACAUCAAUUCAGGUAACAUCUUUAUUCAUCUAUUUAUUAAUUUAUGUUUCUUCUUAUUCUUACACCAAAUCUUUUAAAACAGUAUAUCUUAAUAAUACAUAAAUUAUAAAAAUAAAACAAAAACAAAAUCGUAAGUUUCUUUUCCCUAAUUGAAUUAUUCCCUUUUUUGAUAACUAAAUUCAAAUUUAUAGAAAUUGAAAAUUUGAUAGUAGAACACAAAAAAAUAAUAAUAAUCAAAACAAAAAA